AUUGAACGCUGGCGGCAGGCCUAACACAUGCAAGUCGAACGGUAACAGGCAGACGCUUGCUUCUUUUCUGCCGAGUGGCGGACGGGUGAGUAAUGUCUGGCAGACCGCCUGCUGGAGGGGGACAACUACUGGAAACGGUAGCUAAUACCGCUUAGCGUCGAAGGACCAAAGAGGGGGCCCUUCGGGCCUCUUGCCAUCGGAUGUGCCCAGCUGGGAUUAGCUAGUAGGUGGGGUAACGGCUCACCUAGGCGACGAUCCCUAGCUGGUCUGAGAGGAUGACCAGCCACACUGGAACUGAGACACGGUCCAGACUCCUACGGGAGGCAGCAGUGGGGAAUAUUGCACAAUGGGCGCAAGCCUGAUGCAGCCAUGCCGCGUGUAUGAAGAAGGCCUUCGGGUUGUAAAGUACUUUCAGCGGGGAGGAAGGGAGUAAAGUUAAUACCUUGGCUCAUUGACGUUACCCGCAGAAGAAGCACCGGCUAACUACGUG
This 490-nucleotide ribosomal RNA is filed under the name uncultured bacterium. RNAcentral describes it as "partial 16S ribosomal RNA". It matches the Rfam family "Bacterial small subunit ribosomal RNA", at positions 30 to 507 of the family's 1533-position model. The record is from RNAcentral.